Molecule: ribosomal RNA, 253 nt
Filed under: uncultured bacterium
Lineage: Bacteria
Description: partial 16S ribosomal RNA
Rfam family: Bacterial small subunit ribosomal RNA
Source: RNAcentral
UACGUAGGGGGCAAGCGUUGUCCGGAAUCAUUGGGCGUAAAGCGCGUGUAGGCGGCUCGGUAAGUCCGCUCUGAAAGCCCGGGGCUCAACCCCGGGAGGCGGGUGGAUACUGCUGAGCUCGAGUCCGGAAGAGGAGUGUGGAAUUCCUGGUGUAGCGGUGAAAUGCGCAGAUAUCAGGAAGAACACCUAUGGCGAAGGCAGCUCUCUGGGACGGUACUGACGCUGAGACGCGAAAGCGUGGGGAGCGAACAGG